GAUGAACGCUGACAGAAUGCUUAACACAUGCAAGUCUACUUGAAUUUGGGUUUUUAACUUAGAUUUGGGUGGCGGACGGGUGAGUAACGCGUAAAGAACUUGCCUCACAGCUAGGGACAACAUUUAGAAAUGAAUGCUAAUACCUAAUAUUAUGAUAAUAGGGCAUCCUAUAAUUAUGAAAGCUAUAUGCGCUGUGAGAGAGCUUUGCGUCCCAUUAGCUAGUUGGAGAGGUAACGGCUCACCAAGGCGAUGAUGGGUAGCCGGCCUGAGAGGGUGAUCGGCCACAAGGGGACUGAGACACGGCCCUUACUCCUACGGGAGGCAGCAGUGGGGAAUAUUGGACAAUGGACCGAGAGUCUGAUUCAGCAAUUCUGUGUGCACGAUGAAGUUUUUCGGAAUGUAAAGUGCUUUCAGUUGGGAAGAAAGAAAUGACGGUACCAACAGAAGAAGUGACGGCUAAAUACGUGCCAGCAGCCGCGGUAAUACGUAUGUCACGAGCGUUAUCCGGAUUUAUUGGGCGUAAAGCGCGUCUAGGUGGUUAUAUAAGUCUGAUGUGAAAAUGCAGGGCUCAACUCUGUAUUGCGUUGGAAACUGUAUAACUAGAGUACUGGAGAGGUAAGCGGAACUAUAAGUGUAGAGGUGAAAUUCGUAGAUAUUUGUAGGAAUGCCGAUGGGGAAGCCAGCUUACUGGACAGAUACUGACGCUGAAGCGCGAAAGCGUGGGUAGCAAACAGG
This 735-nucleotide ribosomal RNA is filed under the name uncultured Fusobacterium sp. RNAcentral's name for it is "bacterial SSU rRNA". It matches the Rfam family "Bacterial small subunit ribosomal RNA", at positions 28 to 776 of the family's 1533-position model. The record is from RNAcentral. Lineage: Bacteria; Fusobacteriati; Fusobacteriota; Fusobacteriia; Fusobacteriales; Fusobacteriaceae.